RNAcentral lists this ribosomal RNA (471 nucleotides) under uncultured bacterium. Its description in RNAcentral is "partial 16S ribosomal RNA". It matches the Rfam family "Bacterial small subunit ribosomal RNA", at positions 28 to 507 of the family's 1533-position model. The record is from RNAcentral.
GACGAACGCUGGCGGCGUGCUUAACACAUGCGAGUCGAACGGAAAGGCCCUGCUUGCAGGGUGCUCGAGUGGCGAACGGGUGAGUAACACGUGGGUGAUCUGCCCCUUACUUUGGGAUAAGCCUGGGAAACUGGGUCUAAUACUGGAUAGGACCAUGCUGUAGGUGGUGUGGUGGAAAGAUUUUUUCGGUAAGGGAUGAGCUCGCGGCCUAUCAGCUUGUUGGUGGGGUAAUGGCCUACCAAGGCGUCGACGGGUAGCCGGCCUGAGAGGGUGGACGGCCACAUUGGGACUGAGAUACGGCCCAGACUCCUACGGGAGGCAGCAGUGGGGAAUAUUGCACAAUGGGCGCAAGCCUGAUGCAGCGACGCCGCGUGGGGGAUGACGGCCUUCGGGUUGUAAACGCCUUUCAGCCAUGACGAAGCCUCUUUUGGGGUGACGGUAGUGGUAGAAGAAGCACCGGCUAACUACGUG